Long non-coding RNA from Equus asinus (donkey), 4141 nucleotides. Lineage: Eukaryota; Metazoa; Chordata; Mammalia; Perissodactyla; Equidae. The record is from Ensembl.
UAUAAAGCAGUUUGUUCAGACAUUAUAAACACAAUUCUUUCCAAUUUAAAGCCAAAUUAAAAGGACAACCAACCCAGCUCACUCCAAGCUCCUCUAAGCUCCCGUGGCUUAGGAAUUCUCUCUAGGUUUUUCUCCACCUAGGAAAUGUACCGGUACCCCUCAAAACCUCUAGUCUUAAGACCUUACCCAGCUCAUAUAAACUCUUGGACCGUCAACUUAAAAUAAGGAGGUCCGGGUUUCAGGGGAACUCACCAAGGUCACCUGAAGAAUGCAGUGAUCCGGGGGGCUCAAUGGGCCCUUAUGGGUACCGAAUGCCAGUUCAGUGUAGAUUCCAGGUGGCCUCAGGUGGGUUUCUCUGAAAUCCUGCCGUGACUACGCCAAGAACUGUCGACGAAAAUAAUCCAUAACCAAUCUAUAAAUGAAAAUUUGGGUGAGUUUAUGCUGAGCUUAAAUUUUAGGAUUAUAACCCAGGAGGUCUUUCCACAAAGGAACAGAGCACUCCAAAGAAGUGGGGGCACAUAGGGUGGUUAUAUACCCUCAAAGAGGGUGUUUCACAUGAUUGAAAUGUCCCUCCCACAAUAGUCACAAGAUUGCCCUGUGGGCACAGCACUUGAUGGACACAGCAGGCAGUGAGUCUGCUAUCUCCAAGGGCGCAGCAGGAGGAAAGUCUAUUGUCUCAAGCUGGGCGGUCACAGGUGAGUGCAGCAAUCAUUUCCUAGCCUAAGCAAAGAUGCUUAAUCCUUAAGGAGACACCAACGUUGGGAGGGGGAGGGAAGUUGCACCUUUAUCUCAAGGGCCUUUUGCUCUUGCCAUAGGGAAUCUCUAAAGCAGAUAUACAAUGCAUGCUCAACGGCCUUGGUCAGGCCCUUUUGGAAAGACAAGGUCAGGCCGAAUUAGGUUUAUACCAAAAUGGCUUCCUCAUAUAUUCCAAUAUAUCCUAUUACUUGCCAUUUUUAUUUGACACCUGGCAGGAGGUCUUCUCAGCCUUCACGGAAUUGAAGAGAGUGAGGACCUUGCUCUGGAUGAGCUUGGGCUGAAGGGAGAGUUGUGGCUGGUUUGAUCUUCUAUCCAGACCACUAACACUGUCUCCCUGUCGGCAAUAAGGCUGUUUUGCUUUCUUCUCAUUCAUGUGUUCACUGCAGUAGCACUUUGAAUUUCCUUCAAGAACUUUUCUUUUGUGUUCAUGACUUGGCUGACUCUCUGGUGCCAGAGGACUAGCUCUCAGCUGCCUCAGCUUUGGACAUGGCUUCCUCAUGAAGCUUAAUCAUUUCUCACUUUUCAUUUAAGGUGAGAGGCGUGUGACUCUUCCUCUCAUUGAACACUUAGAGGCCAUUGUAGGGUUACUAGCUGGCCUAAUUUCCAUAUUGUCAUGUCUCAGGGAACAGGGAGGCCUGAGGAUAUGGAGAGAGAUGGGAAUGUCAGCUCAGUGGAGAGGUCAGAACACACACACAUUUAUCCAUUAAGGUCUCCACCUUAGAUGGGCUGUGUUCAUGGUGCCCCAAAACAAUUACAAUAGUACCAUCAAAGACACUGAUCACAGAUCACCAUAACAACUAUAAUAAUCAUGAAAAAGACUGGAAUAUUGCAAGAACUAUCAAAAUAUGACACAGUGACAUAAAGCGAGCAAACACUGUUGGAAAAAUGGUGCUGAUCGAUUUGCUUGACAUAGGGUUGCCAGAAGUUCUCAAUUUGUAAAAAGCGCAGUAUCUGCGAAAUGCAAUUAAGGGAAGCACAAUAAAAUGAGGCAUGCCUGUAUUCUUAAAGAAUGAAAUCCACACCACACUGUUGGGGAAAAGUGCAAUUCUCCACAGAGAACUCUAUGGAGAGGAAGCAAUUUAAAGCAUGAAAGAGCAAAACAAAUCACAUGGCAGGCAACUCCCGGUGAUGUUGGGGGCAGUUUUCCACUCUGUAAACACUGCUUUGCACUUUGCUUCUGGGUUUCCAACACCGUGCAGCCUUCCCUCUGAUGGCUGCCUGGCAGGGACCUGGGAGGGUGGGCAGCCAUGGGAGGGCAGCUGAAGGCACAGAGCCCUGCUGCUCUUGAGGAGCCCUUGUCUUUAGGACUGAGAAAAGGAAACGAAAAAUCUGUGUUCAAAUGACAUUAUGAGUGAGAGAACAGUGAUCACAGCAAUUCUGAACAUAUAUGGUCCAAUUCUUUAAAAACCAUUGACCACCAAUGUUUAUUAAUAUAUUUUCUUUGAUCCUUAUAAGUCUGUGUGAGGGUAAGCAUUUAAAAGGAUGAAUGUCAGGCUCAAGAGGUCAAGUAAUUUGCCUCAGAUGUACAUAUCUAGCUAGUGUCAAGGCAGAAACUAGAAGGCAUUAAAUAUUCUCGGAGGGAAACACAGCAAAAGUCAACAUUGUGCAAUGCACUUAUGGAUCUAUGCAUUCCAAAGAAAGCAACGUGGUUAAAAAUGUUUUUCUCUUUCCUUUUUAAACUCUUUUGCUUGGGCACCUGCUUUUUGCAAGGUGUCUCCCGUGAGGGUGCACGUGGCACUCGCUAGGGAGCACAGCCUUCUUUAUCCAGAAGCUCCAGGAGAAUGGCAGCACACACUGGUGUGGCCCACACGCUCACAGUAAGGAGGUUUGAUCCUACCCCAUCACCAUCAUCCUGAUCCAUAGUUAGAUUUUUCUCCCUAUAGGACAUGAGCAUCCCUACACACUUAAAAGGAGCCAUCGUCCAGCCACUGGGCUCCUGCCACAGGGACCGGGGGACUCCACCUUCCAGGAGUCCCCAGACAUGCAAGGCCAAUUCAUCCUGAAGCCAAGGCACCCAGCCAGGAACCAGCAGAGGAAAGGCCAGAAGUCAGCGAGAAUUAAUUUUAUGGGCAACUGGGCCCUCCAGCGCGGCUCCAGCGCCUGCCAGGACCUUCCGCACGUGACGCCACCAUCCCCAAAGCCAGGGCAGCUCUUCGGCGUCAGCCUCGGGGAUGUGUGCGAAUGCGACAGCCUGCCCCCUUCUCUUUGGUGGGUCUCAUUUUGGUCUUCUGUGGCUUUCCUGAGGAGGGAGAACUCUGCGAGGUCAAGUGUCUCGUUCAAAUCUACCCCUAAACGGAGAAAUCUUUAGACAGCCGCUGGCUUUGGGGGGAAAGCUUUGCUAAUAUUACUUCAAAGAAUAAAAUCUGAUUUAGGUACUGCAGAGUCCUAAAGCAAACAUGACAAAGAAAAGAUACCCUUGUCCAUUCCAUAGGUUUCAGCAAAGACCCACAUAUGCCUGCUCAGAUCAAUGCAAAUGGGCUCUAUGUGGAUGAGUCUCCGAGAGUCCACCCCGUCUCAUCUUCUCUGAACUCCACAGUAGUCUUCAGCCUCCUUCAGCUGAGUCUACUCAAUCUCACUCCUCAGAAUCUCUCAGGUGACUUUGACCUGUAUUUCCAGUGCUGAAGCAUACAGACUCAGCCUCUGGCGUAUGUGGAUCCUUUCAUCCAAAUAGAAUGUGUCAAGUGACAGCCACAGAAUUUGGCCUGUGUUAACUCGAAUUGGUGUAUGGAAUUGUCAGUGUCAACAUUUAUUGAGCGUCCAGUAUCUCUGCAAGCACUCUACCAGAUCUAGGGAACUUUAGGCUAACGACGAAGAAAUGUGUCAUGCCAGUCCCAUGCUCCCACUACCUCAGUCCUUGCAAGUUUCACAGCAAAUUUAGGGGGUAGCUAUGAUUAUCAUCAUUCCCAAUUCACAAACGAGAAAAAAAAAGUAACCUCUCUAAAGUGUACACUGUGCCCUAGGCCACACAGCCAAGAUGUAGCAUCAUAGGAUUCGGGUCCCUUGGAUUACCUGACUCCAAUACCUAGAGCCUUUCUGCACCACAAGCAGAGGACAUGAAGAUGCAGCAAAAGGAAAUGAAAGAGUGAUGAGAAGGGGAUGUAAUUAGAGGAGGAGGAGAGGGGUUUGGAGAGCCCGAUUUGAAAAGAGAGAAAGCAAUCCAGGAAGUAGAAAUGGGGUACGCAGCCCCUUAAAGGGGAACGAACAAUGGGACAUGGGUAUGGCACGAAGAUUUCCAUAGCUGGGGAAGAGCAGCUAUAUUAGGGCACGAUGAGGAAAGAUUGGUGGAGUAGGAGCGGGUGAUUCCACAAAGGCCUGGAAGCAGGGAAGUUUGAUUCCAAAGUGUCAAUUCACUGAAAAGGAAAAUCUGACUUAAAAACUGUUUGAA